GCCGGGAUAGCUCAGCUGGGAGAGCGACAGACUGAAGUUCUGCAGGUCCCGUGUUCAAUCCACGGUCCUGGCA
This 73-nucleotide transfer RNA is filed under the name Trametes cinnabarina. Its description in RNAcentral is "Pycnoporus cinnabarinus tRNA". It matches the Rfam family "tRNA". Rfam says of the family: Transfer RNA (tRNA) molecules are approximately 80 nucleotides in length. The record is from Rfam by way of RNAcentral. Lineage: Eukaryota; Fungi; Basidiomycota; Agaricomycetes; Polyporales; Polyporaceae.